RNAcentral lists this long non-coding RNA (1463 nucleotides) under Mytilus galloprovincialis (Mediterranean mussel). The record is from RNAcentral. Lineage: Eukaryota; Metazoa; Mollusca; Bivalvia; Mytilida; Mytilidae.
UUUUAAUUGUAAUAUAUCAUUUCUAAAUUUACUUAUAGCAGAAUAACAAAUGCAAAUUUACAUUAAAAAAUCUCUUUUCCUCAUAACUUGGCCUUACAAUAAAUACACAACAUUUUCAAAUAUAGAAGCUAUAAAACAACAAAGAUUUAAACAGCAGAAAACAUUUAUCAGUUAAAUAUAUUGUUCUUGCAAGUGGUCAAUCAUAUUGGAACUCUCACAUUUCCUUUCUUUUAAAAGAGAACUACAUUGGACAAAGCAUUAAGGUAUAUGUCAUUACAAAAAUAAUGAGAUACAUAAUUACUUGCCAUAAUCCCCCUCCCCCUCCCCAAAAAAGAAACAAGAUCCUAUAGCAAUAAGAGUCAAUAUUUUAUUUAUUAGAAUAUAUUAAAAGUCUAUACACACACCUUAUCAAAAUAUUAUAGAAAACAAGAAGUUGACACCUUAAAACUUGAACAAUCCUAUCUAUUUUGUUUGAACUGCAUAAUCUGUUUUAUUUGAAAUAUUCUAAUCAAAACAAACAUGCAAACAAAAUUUUAACUGAUCACUUCAUGGUAAACUGCCUUAAAACAAAACUUUAACUUGUUACUGGACGGACUAACCACCUGGUGAACAGAGAGAGACCAAAGUACAUGAUGCCUUAUCAUAGACGCAGAAACAUAUAAUAAAAUCUAAUAAAUAUUUUGAUCUGUGCAUUAAAACUAGGGUUAUUUCAGAAACGUAAAAUUCCUAAAUAAAAAUUAAACCAUCCUUUGAUUUGUUCAAAAUAAGUGCAUAUAAUUUAAUUUAUUGUGAACAAACACAAUGCCAUCAGAUGUAUGGCUACCACUAAAACCUUUAAAGUAUUGACCAUAUACAUACCCGUAGCCAGGGGGUUGGGGGGUUCAGACGAACCCCCCUUAAAACCAAAUAAGCACUGUAAAAGUCAACGUUCUGUUCAAAUUGUGACUGUUUAAGUCGAGUUCAUGAGUCCAAAUAACCCCCCCCCCUUUCCCCCUUGGAUAUUCCUGGCUACGGGCCUGUCAUAUAUAUGAAAAGGUAGAACUGCUGAAUUCGGAAAUAACUUUAGUUCUGCCUUGGCAACAAUGAAAAUUUCAUAGAGUUCAACAGUUAUCUGUUACUGUGUUGUUACAAUCUGAACAGGAUUAUCCACUUGCAAGACAAUAAGUUAACACAUGAAAGGUUUCUUUUGUAAGACAGCUUUAUCAUCAGACACUAGAGUUUAUAAAUAAAUAUCUAUUUCAAAAUACAAUACCUAUAAAUAGAUUAUUUUAUGAUAAAUAUUCAAAACAUUUCUUCUCUCUACAAGUUUUACCUAUUCUAAUAUUUAAAUUACUAACAACAGUAUAUUAACAUCCAUACAAUUGUAUAUAUAAAUUCAAUUUAUAAAAAGGCACAUAAAACUGCAAAACAGCAAUAAAACUUGUAAAGUAAAUAAGAUAGAAGAAAAUUACAAGACAUAUUUU